RNAcentral lists this long non-coding RNA (2485 nucleotides) under Pan troglodytes (chimpanzee). RNAcentral's name for it is "long non-coding RNA NONPTRT008212". The record is from RNAcentral. Lineage: Eukaryota; Metazoa; Chordata; Mammalia; Primates; Hominidae.
AAAAAAAAUAAGUCUAUUAUACGAGAAGAAAAGCAUUUUUGAGGUCUUUUUUUGGUUAUUUUUUGUUUGUUUGUUUGAGAUGGAGACUCACUCUGCCACCCAGGCUGCAGUACAGUGGCACAAUUUUGAUUCGCUGCAACCUCUACCUCCCAGGUUUAAGCAAUUCUCAUACCUCAGCCUCCCAAGUAGCUGGAACUAAAGGUGCACACCAACACCCCCGGCUAACUUUUGUAUUUUUAGUAGAGAUGGGGUUUCACCAUGUUAGGGUGCUUUUGAAAUUGUGACCUUAGGUGACCGGUUCACAUGGGUCUACCAAAGUACUCUGAUUGCAGGGAUGAGCCACCACGUACCGAGGCUUUGAUAUCCUUUUUUUUUUUUUUUUUUUUUUUGAGAUAGACUCUCACUCUGUCGCCCAGGCUGGAGCCCAGUGGUGUGAUCUCGACUCCCUGCAAGCUCCGCCUCCCAGGUUCAUGCCGUUCUCCUGCCUCAGCAUCUGGAGUAGCUGGGACUACAGGCGCCAGCCACCAUGCCCAGCUAAUUUUUUGUAUUUUUAGUAGAGACAGGGAUUCACCCUGUUAGCCAGGAAAGUCUCGAUCUCCUGACCCCGUGAUCUGCCUGCCUCGGCCUCCCAAAGUGCUGGGAUUACAGGCAUGAGCCUCCGUGCCUGGCCUCAUAUACCUUUUAAAAAUUACUAUGAUAUAUCCCUUUUAAAAAGUACUAACUGAAAAAAGUACUGGCUCAAAAAAAAUAAUAGAAAAUAAGAAACAAAAAACAGGCUGAGAAAAGUGGCUCACAUCUGUUGGCCAUGCUGGUUUCAAACUCCUGACCUCAAGUGACCUAUGUGCCUUGGCCUCCCAACGUGCUGGGAUUACAGGUGGGAGCCACCGCACCUGGCCCCAUCCUAUUAACAUAAACACUUGAAUGUCAAUAAAGGCUUGAACUCAAUGUUAAGUCAACACAAACUCAAGUUAAUGCUGAAUUGACUCCAAUGUCAAUUAAUGCUUGAUGGUUUGCUAUACUCAUUUCAUUGGGAAUGGUUAUCUCAAAAAUGAAUUUUCUGAUGUUCUGCAUGGAGUGAUCUUGGACUGAAGACUUGCCACACUGAUGACAUUUGUAAGAUUUCUGUCCAGUAUAGAUUCUCUGAUGUCUAAUGACGUGUGAACGUGAAGCAAAGGCUUUGCCACAAUCAUCACACUUGUGAGGUUUCUCUCCUGUAUAAAUUCUCCUAUGUUUUGCAUAGGAUGAAGCUUGACGGAAGACCUUGGCACAGUCAUGACAUUUGUAAGCUUUCUCUCCAGUAUAAAUUCUCCUAUGUCUUUAAGGUGUGAUUUCCAACUGGAAACUUUGUCACAUGCUUCACAUUUCUAAGGUUUCUCUCCAGUAUGAAUUCUAUGAUGACGUGAAAGGUGUGAUUGUUGAUUAAAAGCCUUCCCACAUUCAUUACACUUGUAAGGUUUCUCUGCAGUGUGAAUUCUGGUAUGUCUUGACAGGAGUGAAUUACGCACGAAAGCCUUGUCACAAAUUGUACAUUUGUAAGAUUUCUCUCCAGUAUGAAGUCUACGAUGGUAUAUAAGGGAUGAGCAGUGACGGAAGGUAUUGCCACACUCAUUACACUUGUAAGGUUUCUCACCACUAUGAAGUCUACGAUGGCAAUGAAGGGAUGACCUGCGACUGAAGGUCUUGCUGCACUCAUUACACUUGUAAGGUUUCUCACCACUAUGAAGUCUACGAUGGCAAUGAAGGUAUGACCUCUGACUGAAGGUCUUGCUGCACUCAUUACACUUGUAAGGUUUCUCACCACUAUGAACUCUGCGAUGGCUUGCAAGGUAUGACCUCAGACGGAAGGUCUUGCUGCACUCAUUACACUUGUAAGGUUUCUCUCCACUAUGAAUUCUAGUAUGUUUUGCCAGAUAGGAAUGACACGCGAAAGCCUUGUCACAAACCUUACAUUUGUAUGGUUUCUCUCCGGUGUGAAUUAUCUUAUGUGUCUCAAGGGUUGAUUCACAACUGAAAACCUUUUCACAUUCUUCAUAUUUGUAAGGUUGCUCUCCAGUAUGAAUUGACUUAUGAAUUAAAAGAUCUGAAUUUUGACCAAAGGUCUUCCCACAUUCAUUACACUUGUAAGGUUUUCCUCCACUAUGAAUUCUAGUAUGUCUUACCAGGUGUGAAUUCCAUGCGAAAGCCUUGUCACAAACCUUACAUUUGUAAGAUUUCUCUCCACCAUGAAGCCUAUGAUGGCAUACAAGGGAUGACUUGUGACUGAAGGUCUUGCCACACUCAUUACAUUUGUAAGUUUUCUCUCCAGUGUGAAUUCUUUUAUGUCGAGCCAGCUGUGAAUUCCACGUGAAAGCUGUGUCACAAACCUUACAUUUGUAUGGUUUCUCUCCAGUAUGAAUUCUCUUAUGUGACUCAAGGGUUGAUUUCCGACUGAAAACUUUGUCACAUUCUUCACAUUUGUAAGGUUUCUCUCCAGUAUGAAUUCUAC